AGAAGAAAACAGAAUCACAAAGAGAUUUCCAAACAGGAGGAGCUCUGAGAUACAAACAGCUUAAUUAGUAGAAGCGCCUAAUGUCUUUGGGUGGUUUGAAAUUGACAGGGUGAGUUUCUGGAGUUGCAUUCUCAUCUUCUUUCGACAUCUUUAUCGUCUUAUCAGCUUCACAUGUUACCAAUCUCGAACCUGUCUGAUCAUAACACGCUGCAUAUAUACCCGCUUCACCCUCCAGUGACCCUGCCAAGACCCAUUAUUAUUGCUUCCGAGGCCUAAUUAUAUCAUACUGAGACUUCUAUAAAUCUUCACCUUACAAGGAGAUCAAGAGCAAAUGAACAUGAAACGAGCUAUGAAUAUACGUACCAGGCUGUACAAAAGUUUCAGUCCCAGAACCAUAUACUUCCAUUAUCACCUUUAUUCAUACAUACAUACAUAGAAACAAUUUUAGUUAAGUGAAGGCGAGGUAGUUAUACAAUCACAGAAAAGGGAUUCAGAUAAAUUUGUUACCUCCAGUCACCAUUACACCAGCCACUACGUUAAUUAUAGUCAUCUGCUGCGAACUGUUCCACGGAGAAAGACACCGUAUAUCAUAAUACAAAAAAAAACUGCCUUAAUUUCAAAUGAAACUCGAGCUUCAAAAGCACUAGAGAUGCAAGAUAAUGGGUUAUAUCUUACAGCAUGUUGUGGCAAAAUUCUCCCUUUGGAAGGCCAAAUUUAUUGGUGUUGUCAGCUGAUGCAGAAGCAAAGGCAUUUCUAAAAACGAAAAACAAAAAGAGAUAUUAUUAGAAGCUAGUGUUCAAAUGGAUCGUAGUCUUGAUGAACCUGGUGUUCGAAAGAUAAAACUGGAAGCACUGCAAAACUAUAUACAUACUCUUUAGGAUGAAGGGCCAUUGUUCGCACAGAUUUCUUAUGGUGCGUUAAGAGUCGCCAUCGUUUUUCCUGUAUAUAAUAAUCCGACAUUUCAGACCAAAUCAUAUGUUUGCAGCAAGUGAUCAUCUAAUAAGCACAUAUAUCUAAAACAAAAUGGAUUUAUAGUCCAGACGAUGGUUAGAAUGAUAAGAUUUACCAUAUCGAAGGUUCCAAAAUUUAAAUAGACUGUGAUUUUAAUGGGUUCCAAAAGACUGAAGUUGGUUUUCCUUUUUUCCACCAAUGAUAUGGUUUUUUUUGGUUCAAAAGAUAAUGGUUUUCUUUAAAAUAAUGUUGAGAGCUCUUUUAUUUUCCACACUUCUCACGAUUUAUUGCGCCGAAAACUAUAAUAUAAAGAAAAUUAAAUACGUUUGUAAACCAGAAACUCUAUUAUUUCCGGUUAACGAAUUUUCAAUUUUGGUAAAGAAAAAAAAACUUAUAGGUAUAUUAGGGUUUUGAGCUACGCCACCCUCUAUAUAAAUUGGGCAUUCUCUUCCCUCUCUCCAUUACCUUCUUCAUAGUCUUCUUUUGAUUCUCUGUUUCCUUUUGAUUUUUUUUUUACUUAAUCGAUUUUGUGUUUAUAGUUUUCUUUGUUUGAUGAGAUCGCCCGAUGAAGAAGAAUUCCCAAAAGAUAGGAAGUGCCGUAUGACACUUUAAACGCAGCAGGCGAACUGAAUCGAGGAUUGCAUCCGGUUUUCGAUUUCUCAAUCCCCCGUUUAGUCUUCACCCCAUGACCGUACGCAGAUCCUAACCCGGGUCCGUUUACGAAUCGUGUUCGAAGCUGACCGGACCGGGUUUGGUUAUCUUGACCGUACUUCCCACCGUUUCUGUGUUCGCUUCUGUGUGUUUGAUUUUAAACGGGUUUCUGAGGGUUUUUUUAAAAAAAAAAAAAUUUAAUACUAACUGUUCGAUGCCACGUCGACGAUAGCUUAUGGGCUAUGAUCGUUGAUGCUACAUUGGACAAAAACAGAUGUACGUGUUUCGCUUUUCUGAUAGGAACCUGUAGAUCUUGAUUCUUUUGGUCUACGGAGCCAUUUCGGCGAUUACAUUCUUUAAAUUAGUUAUAAUUAUUCGUGGGAAGUAAAUUGUUGAUGAUCAUUGCUAAAAUAUGGAAUUACCGUCUGAGUUUAAUUACUUUGAUGUGAAAAACGCUGGCUUACUGAGAUUUAUUUCCCUUAUUUAAAAAAGAUUGUUGUUUUUCUUUUUGUUGGGACAGUGACGAUUGAUAUUAGGUCUCGUUCGUCGUAAUAUCGGCCUUAAAAAAGCCGAUUUGCCGACCAUUCUGUUAUAUCACCACCCAUAUUCUGAGUCCUUUUUGUAUGUUUUUUAUCAUUCUCAUCAUUUUCUUUUAAUUGGCCGAUGAUUAAAUCAAUUAAGACAAGCAUAUAUAUGUCUGAAUUAAUCCCUGUUGAUAAGCCUAAUCUUCUCGAUGAGGCCGAUUUAUUAGUUCUUUUGUUGUUUGAUUUAGUAGGAGGAAGGGGGUCAGGUGAUGAAUAAUAAUGCAUAGUUCAGAUGAAAAUAAUCUCCAUGAUUACAUUUUGUAGCAUAGUCUUUCGCUCCUAUCUGAUGACCCCCUCCUAUCUUGUUUUCUCUGCAUUUGCCUACGUAAAUCUUUGUUGUGAAAGUCCAAUCUUCUAUAUUUUCAGUAAGACUAAUAAUUGCAUAUUUUUUAUUAUGUUAUUUUGAUAUAAAUUUUGGAUAACGCUUUCAGAUGAGAAUUUUCAUUAGUGAUCAUGAUGUUGUUUCGAGGAAGUUGGUUUGAAAAUAGUUGGUUAACUCCUUCCAAGUAGGCCUUGGCAUUAGGAUCCUCCUUGUGGGUCCGGAUCCUUUGGGUCUAAGAGUUUAGGACCCGAUAGGUUAAUUUAAAAUUGUCGGUUUGAGGUCGGUUCGGGUCUCUUCGGAUCUGGGUCCGGGUCGGGUUGGGCCUUAGAUAGUAAGACCCAAUAGGAUAAUUAGGGUUUGUUGAUUCAUAUUCGGUUGGGUUACGGAUCAGGUUUGGUUCGGGUCAUGUCGGGUCCAACCCAUAAAAAUACCUAAAACACACAGAAUAUAUCUGAAAAUAUUUAAAUACUCAAAAAAUAUGAGAAAUUUUAUAUAAAAUCUGAUUCAAAGACAAAAAAAAAUAUCCAAAAUUUUAUCUGAUUAUCCCAAUUAUAUUUUUGAAAAUCUAAAUUUUUAUCCAAAUCCCAAAACUAUAUCCAAAAACUAAAAUUUGAAACUUAAAAAAUAUCCAUAAUACCAAAAAUAAACUGAAACAUCCAUGUCUAACAAUACUAAAAGCAGGAUAUCAAACCCUUUUGGCGUGUCCACGUCGUCUUUAAAAAUCAGCCAACGAGGAGGUUCUCUUUCGACAUGUCACCAUCGCUUCUAACUUAAAGAGUGAAACUGGGCCUUUCGUGUAGGUUUUAAAAAUUUUCUAUGGCCCAGUUUAAACAUAAUACGCGUAAACCUCUGUAGAGUCGGGAGCGUCGUCGAACUCAGUCUCUUCCACUUCCUCUCCGCCGAUCUUUUCCUCUGUAAUCACCGUUACCUCUACCCUUACUUGAACAAUCGAUGAUGUUCUUUACUCACUCCUUUAUUUUUUCGUUCGACCUCCCGAUGAUUAUUCAUCCUCCAAAUCCUGACGUUUCAUGAGUCUAUCAACCACUUGCUAUAAAUUUAGGACCAUACACACGAACCCUCACUACCCAAUCCAAGUACUCUGCAGUUCGUACUUUUCUACUCCCCUCUUCCGUCAUGGCUAACCUCGAGUUUGUCAUCCUACUUGACAUUCGACAGUCUGCACCUUUGCUGUUAUCUCAAGCGGUUGUCCGGCGAUGCACCUUUGUCGUUAUCUCAAGAGGUUGUCCGGCGACUCAUCAUUCACUGGGAUUAUUAGGUUUUUAAUCCCUCUUGCCUGUUCAGUCGCUAUUAAUCUCGAUACAACUUCUCGCGGAUAAACAUGUUAAUUAGUUAACUCCCUUUUGGAUUUUAAAAAAUGAUAUCAUUCUCCGCUAUUGGAUUUUUAUUUUUCCUUUCGUUAUGUUUGAUUCCUCUUAUGAUUUUUUGGUAAUCAAUUUUUUUUCCCAAGCUGAAUCAUUCUAAAUAUGUAGUAAACAUAUCAUCUUAAUUUGUCGACUUUUGUUUUGGUGUUCACUCUAAUGAAUGUUGUUGUUGAUUCUUCCCAUACCGGUUAGUUUCUUUGUUAAUACUGUGCCACGCCAUCUCUUUCAUCACAUGAUCUUAGUUGGUUCUUUCUCUACAAUCAGCUGAUUGCUUCAUGACUUUCCUACUUUGGCUUAUUGCAACUCAUAUUCAGGAGCUGGAGGAGGAACUUAAGCUUCUCAAGAAUCACUCUCAACCAAAUAUAGUUGUAAGCAAUAAAAGCUUUUUGUAUUUCUUACAAAUGUUUGAUACGCCCACUACGUCUUUGUUUCGUUUAUAACUCUUUUAUUCAAACCCACUGAGAAUUUUGUUUCUUUUAUAACAUGAAACAUUAAAGUAAGAACUUGUGAUUGAUUUAUUAGAAAGCUGUGUUUUGUGAACUUUAUGGUCCUGCAGAGAGAGAUAGACAAGGUUUUCCAAUAAGCAGCUAUUCCUUUGUCUCAGUGAGUCUCCUCUUUUCAUGGACGAUGGGAGAAGAAGAGAAGCGGGAAGAAAUAUUGGAUGUUAUUAGCGAGGAAGCUGGAGCAUUGGCCACAGCUGAGGGAACCAAGAGCUUGAACUCAAGUGUCAUCUAAACUAAUGCUCCUUAGGAAUUCUUUUUAAGCGGAGUCAGUUGUGGUUGUGGCAUGUCAAUGACAAGAGUGAUGGUAAGAAGUAAAAUAAAGCUAGAAGACUAAGGGAGAAGAUGAAAAUCAAUGAAAAGCGGAUGGUUGCGUAAGGGAGGAGAGCGUAAAAGUUUAAGAAGGUUUUGAUUGGACAAUUGAAGUCUCAUAAGGGAAGGAACUAUAAAAUUAUUUUCACUUCCUGAAUUAUUUGUCGUGCCUGGAGGGGUUGUGAUUCCUGGAGAUAAAAAAAAACAUUCAGAGAUAUCGUUUGAUAUACUAAGCAUUUCAGAUUUUAGGAUCAGAUUUCUUAAACAAAGUGAUUUCAAGCAAAAGCUUACUUUCUGAUUUUCAUCUCAGAAUUAUCCCGUGUGCUAUAUACUAAUUGUUUUAGAGUAUCCAAUCUCCUUAUAUCCAGAACUUCAGAAGCAGAGUAUAUGUUCUUACACAUUGACUUUAGGCCGAUAACAUCAUAUAACAAUAAUUCUAUUUUUUUUUUCAAAUGCAAGCGAUACUGAAUUCACAUAGAAAGCCACCGACUGUGUUAGAUGCAUAGCUAUGAUUAAGCAACAUCAGUCAUCAAUACUAUAAUGAGAGAAAAUCGAAUUUUGUUAUCAUACAAUGCAAACACACAAGCAUAUGAGGAUAGGCUCUCCAGACUUCACUUUAUUAUAUUAUAUUGAAAUUUUAGAUGAAUAGACAAAUGAACAAGACAUGAGUUUUAAAAUCCAUCCUCACACAAAAAUUUCCCCGUAAAAACGGCUACUCACCCGAGUUUUGAACACGGCCAGUUUAUGAACAUGAGUUACAAUCAAUCCAUGUUUUAGAAAAAAAAACAAUCAAAAAGGAGAAUGAGAACAAUUGCAUGUUGCUUUUUUAUAAAAUACUUCCACGCACACAAAUAAACAAAUAUGUUAUGUGUUUUUUGGGUGCAAAUGUUAUGUGGUUUUCAGUCAUUAUUUUAGGUUCAAUGUAAUCUCCUUUAUAUAAUCAAUAGGCAAAGCUGUCUGUGGAUAAGCUUUGGUUUCUAAUGAUGCACGUAAUCAGUAAAUCUAAUGAAACUAAGGUUAUACAGGAAACCAUGUAUGAGGACUUUGGCUCCUAGGGAUCGAAACGACUUUUGAAAGGAAAAAAUAUAUACAUACCUAUUAUUUAUAUAAUUUACAAAAAGGUCUAUGGAAAAAAGAAGCUAGAUUACCAAAACAAAUGCAGUUAAGAAAUCCAAUGAAUAAAAAAUCAGUAUCCAAAAAUAAAUCUCUCCGGAAAAGUAAACAGCAAAAAAAUUGCACACAUACAAAAAAAUAAACAAAACAUACAUUACACAUAUGUAAAUUAAAACAAUUACUGAAAAAGUCAUAUGAAAAUAUACUGUUUUUAACAUGAAAACUCAAAUAUUAGAACAAUCCAACAGAUAUACAUACACUCACCAAAUAUACACAUCAUACUCACAUCAUACAUUACUAUGAACUAAAAAACAAUAAAAAAAUAUGCAAAACAUGAAAUAGUACAUCAAGCUCCCGGUCAUAUCCCUUAAAAAAAUAUGCAAAACACAUUUCUCUGUCAUAUCCCUCCAAAAGACAAGACAUAAACCUAUAAAAUAACCAUAAAAUAUGGAGGGCCAGGGCCAGAGAAAUUCUACAACAGCUCCACCAUCUACCCUGCAACUACUGAAGCAUCUUUUUGGACAAACAAGCCACGAAUGGAGAAUGCAUUGGAGAUCCAUCAUGAGUAUGGCAAGCCAAACAUCACCUCCGCAUGCACUAAAUCGUACAAGCAGUGGUUCCACAAACAAGGUAAAUUACAGCUAUAUAGUCCCAUAAACAAAACAAAGUAAAUAAGGUUAUCAUGCAUCUAUAAAACAGGCAAUCGCUUAUUCACUAAUAAAAAUAACAUUGAACAUCACAAACCAGUAUACAGCCACUCUGUUGCAAAUUUAGGUAACCCUUCAUCUUUGUUAACAGAUCAGGGGCAUGUCCAACGCAUCACAUCAGUGGUGAAAUCAACCAACGAGAAGAUGGCAUCUCAGGCCUAACUCGAACCAUCAUCUCACAAUUUUCCAUUUAUGUCUACAAGGUAUUCCAAGGUACGAUCUUCUACACUC
This is a long non-coding RNA of Brassica napus (rape), 6753 nucleotides long. RefSeq lists it as uncharacterized. The transcript is spliced from 3 exons. Lineage: Eukaryota; Viridiplantae; Streptophyta; Magnoliopsida; Brassicales; Brassicaceae. The record is from RefSeq and is a predicted model, not a curated record.